AUGGCCUCAUUCAUCCGUGUAAUCUUUGGUCCUGCUCCUGAGUUCUGUCCUGACCACUUCGCUCUCCCAAAGGUAACACCGGGGCUUAAACCGAGCCGUGAUCACAUUGACAGUAGACACCCAAGACUCCAAGAUGGCAUCAGUCAUGCCAGUGAAGAAGGAACUCAAGUUGCCAAACCAAGGGAGCUGCCAACCUGGAUACUGAUGUGGAAUUUCACCCCUAACGGCAUUGUUGGAGCAUUUCAAAGAGGUUACUUACCACCGGUCUCACAACCAGUACGUCAGUGUGAACAAAGGGAGCAUUGCUGGCGUUUCUAUGGUGCCGGCGGACCUGUCUUUCAACUACUGCUUUCCUUACACAGAACUCACGUGUGCCCAGCCACGCACAGACCACCGCAGAGAGUGUGGAGGGUGCACUCUGUAAUCCUGACCAUCUUUGCUCAGCACCCCUGAAUCCUUUCAUAUCCUAAUUGAGAAUUAACACCCAAUAAAGAAAUACUGGCUAAAAAACA
This 512-nucleotide long non-coding RNA is filed under the name Felis catus (domestic cat). RNAcentral's name for it is "lncRNA (ENSFCAG00000043312.2)". Lineage: Eukaryota; Metazoa; Chordata; Mammalia; Carnivora; Felidae. The record is from RNAcentral.